CCUACGGGAGGCAGCAGUGGGGAAUAUUGCACAAUGGGGGAAACCCUGAUGCAGCGACGCCGCGUGAGUGAAGAAGUAUUUCGGUACGUAAAGCUCUAUCAGCAGGGAAGAAGAAAGACGGUACCUGACUAAGAAGCCCCGGCGAACUACGUGCCAGCAGCCGCGGUAAUACGUAGGGGGCAAGCGUUAUCCGGACUUACUGGGUGUAAAGGGAGCGUAGGCGGCUGGGCAGGUCUGGAGUGAAAGCCCAGGGCUCAACCCUGGGACUGCUUUGGAAACUGAGGAGCUAGAGUGCUGGAGAGGUAAGUGGAAUGCCUAGUGUAGGGGUGAAAUGCGUAGAUAUUUGGAGGAACACCAGUGGCGAAGGCGGCUUACUGGCACGUAACUGACGUUGAGGCGCGAAAGCGUGGGGAGCAAACAGGAUUAGAUACCCGUGUAGUC
This 441-nucleotide ribosomal RNA is filed under the name uncultured bacterium. RNAcentral describes it as "partial 16S ribosomal RNA". It matches the Rfam family "Bacterial small subunit ribosomal RNA", at positions 338 to 795 of the family's 1533-position model. The record is from RNAcentral.